This 484-nucleotide ribosomal RNA is filed under the name uncultured bacterium. RNAcentral's name for it is "partial 16S ribosomal RNA". It matches the Rfam family "Bacterial small subunit ribosomal RNA", at positions 30 to 507 of the family's 1533-position model. The record is from RNAcentral.
AUUGAACGCUAGCGGGAUGCUUUACACAUGCAAGUCGAACGGCAGCUCGGACUUCGGUCUGGCGGCGAGUGGCGAACGGGUGAGUAAUGUAUCGGAACUUGCCCAGUAUCGGGGGAUAACUACGCGAAAGCGUAGCUAAUACCGCAUACGCCCUACUGGGGAAAGCAGGGGAUCGUAAGACCUUUCACUAUUUUAGCGGCCUAUAUCGGAUUAGCUAGUUGGUGAGGUAACUGCUCACCAAGGCGACGAUCCGUAGCUGGUUUGAGAGGACGACCAGCCACACUGGGACUGAGACACGGCCCAGACUCCUACAGGAGGCAGCAGUGGGGAAUCUUGGACAAUGGGGGAAACCCUGAUCCAGCAAUCCCGCGUGUGCGAUGAAGGACUUCGGGUUGUAAAGCACUUUUGGCAGGAAAGAAACGUAGCGCGCUAAUACCCCGUGGAAAUGACGGUACCUGCAGAAUAAGCACCGGCUAACUACGUG